GCCCGGUUAGCUCAAUCGGUAGAGCGUGUGGCUGUAAGUUUUCCACUCCAACCCGGUCAUUGCGCUGGAAUCCAUCAACUAACAUUAUCUCCCCAGUUUAUGAAGCACACCUCAAGGUUGCGAGUUCGAGCCUCGCAUCGGGCG
Molecule: non-coding RNA, 144 nt
Organism: Aspergillus ellipticus CBS 707.79
Lineage: Eukaryota; Fungi; Ascomycota; Eurotiomycetes; Eurotiales; Aspergillaceae
Source: the annotation of a GenBank genome assembly